AUUUAGAUGAACGUGGCAACAAAGAAAAUUGUUGAUGUUUUAAAUGAUUGAUAUUUAUCUUAUCUAUAUAUUCCUGGUAGAGCAACACUUUGUUUGACUCCCAGUGAACACAGAUGCUGAUAGCUUGAAUAAGGCAACUGGGUCUUUGGCCCUAAACCUGAAGCUGGUGAUGCUGAGCGCGGCGGUGAAGAGGAGAGGGUUCUGAUGGAGGAAGAGCGAGCCGGUCUGCUGCCGGGAUUCAUCACCACCGAACACUAUCACACAGGGUCCGGCCUUCAUUACAUCACUUCACUAUGAGUCUACACACAGUCUGUGCCAGCUGUCACCAUUCUGGCUUAAGUUUUCACUUCGUUUUUAACAUGUUUUUAACAUACCAGAUGCUCUAUUAGCUGCUGUAGAACAGUGAAGGAUAGAUAGCAGUCUUUCAGUAUGGAAAGAGGACGUGGUCAUGUGAUCGUUGUGAUGUCAUCAUUGUAACUGCUGCUUCUGUGAUGCCAUUAAAAUGAAUUCUGG
Cyprinus carpio carpio is the source of this 513-nucleotide long non-coding RNA. The record is from Ensembl. Lineage: Eukaryota; Metazoa; Chordata; Actinopteri; Cypriniformes; Cyprinidae.